RNAcentral lists this non-coding RNA (28 nucleotides) under Mus musculus (house mouse). The record is from RNAcentral. Lineage: Eukaryota; Metazoa; Chordata; Mammalia; Rodentia; Muridae.
UGAUCAUCAAGAUGUCAAUCUCCUGCCA